GAGAUAAAUCCCAUAGGGCAAGUGCCAGCUGAUUGUUUCAUGAUGAUUUUAAGCUAUUUGAGAGCCAUGCAGUCCUUACCUAUCUUGCCUGUGCGUUUCCUGGAGUUACAGAUCAUUGGUAUCCUGCUGAUCUUCGCAAGAGAGCCAAGGUUCAAUCUGUGUUAGACUGGCACCAUUCUACCAAC
This is a non-coding RNA of Jatropha curcas, 185 nucleotides long. The record is from RefSeq and is a predicted model, not a curated record. NCBI's taxonomy places the organism in Eukaryota, Viridiplantae, Streptophyta, Magnoliopsida, Malpighiales, Euphorbiaceae.